This 261-nucleotide ribosomal RNA is filed under the name uncultured bacterium. RNAcentral's name for it is "partial 16S ribosomal RNA". It matches the Rfam family "Bacterial small subunit ribosomal RNA", at positions 524 to 784 of the family's 1533-position model. The record is from RNAcentral.
UACGAAGGGGGCUAGCGUUGUUCGGAAUUACUGGGCGUAAAGCGCGCGCAGGCGGUUUUGUAAGUUGGGGGUGAAAUCCCUGGGCUCAACCCAGGAAUGGCCUUCAAGACUGCAAGGCUAGAGGACGAGAGAGGUGAGUGGAAUUCCCAGUGUAGAGGUGAAAUUCGUAGAUAUUGGGAAGAACACCGGUGGCGAAGGCGGCUCACUGGCUCGUUUCUGACGCUGAGGCGCGAAAGCGUGGGGAGCAAACAGGAUUAGAUA